RNAcentral lists this ribosomal RNA (34 nucleotides) under uncultured cyanobacterium. RNAcentral's name for it is "partial 23S ribosomal RNA". Lineage: Bacteria; Bacillati; Cyanobacteriota. RNAcentral also lists the same sequence under 1 other name. The record is from RNAcentral.
GGUCAAGCUACAAAGGGCUCACGGUGGAUACCUU